CAAGAUUUUCGUAGGUCUACGACU
Molecule: non-coding RNA, 24 nt
Filed under: Arabidopsis thaliana (thale cress)
Lineage: Eukaryota; Viridiplantae; Streptophyta; Magnoliopsida; Brassicales; Brassicaceae
Source: RNAcentral